RNAcentral lists this ribosomal RNA (460 nucleotides) under uncultured bacterium. RNAcentral's name for it is "partial 16S ribosomal RNA". It matches the Rfam family "Bacterial small subunit ribosomal RNA", at positions 338 to 795 of the family's 1533-position model. The record is from RNAcentral.
CCUACGGGUGGCAGCAGUGAGGAAUAUUGGUCAAUGGGCGGAAGCCUGAACCAGUCAAGUAGCGUGCAGGAUGACGGCCCUACGGGUUGUAAACUGCUUUUAUACGGGAAUAACGCGCCUUACGUGUAGGGCUUUGCAUGUACCGUAUGAAUAAGGACCGGCUAAUUCCGUGACAGCAGCCGCGGUAAUACGGAAGGUCCGGGCGUUAUCCGGAUUUAUUUGGUUUACAGGGAGCGUAGGCCGCAUGUCAAGCGUGCUGUGAAAUGUCCGGGCCCAACCCGGGCCUUGCAGCGCGAACUGGCGUGCUUGAGUCCGCGGAAAGCAGGCGGAAUGCGUCGUGUAGCGGUGAAAUGCUUAGAUAUGACGAAGAACCCCGAUUGCGAAGGCAGCUUGCUGCAGCGGAACUGACGCUGAUGCUCGAAAGCGCGGGUAUCGAACAGGAUUAGAUACCCGGGUAGUC